CGAUUGGAGGGCAAGUCUGGUGCCAGCAGCCGCGGUAAUUCCAGCUCCACGAGCGUAUAUUUGAGUUGUUGCAGUUAAAACGUGCGUAGUUGAUGAUCAGGGGCCGCGCUGAUGGCAAGCACCCUCCGGGGUGGACUGCCGGCCGGCACUCUACUGGCCGUGGACCUCGGUCCCGGUCACUAAUACCUCGAACAAAUGAGAGCGCAUGAGGCAGGCACCUGUUGCCGGAAUCGAUUAGCAUGGAAUAAUGGAAGAAGAGGGCCGGUGCGUUUUUUCUUUUUCCCGUUUUUUGGUUUCUGCACGGGCUUUUCAUGAGCAAGAGGGGCGGCAUUGGGGGCAUUGGUAUGUGGCUGUCAGAGGUGAAAUUCUUGGAUUUGCUACAGACUGGCGAAGGCGAAGGCAUCUGUCCAGGACGCUUUCAUUGAUCAAGAACGAAAGUUGGGGGAUCGAAGGUGAUUAGAGACCAUUUUAGUCCCAACUGUAAACGAUGUCGGUUGUGGGUUGGGGGAGACGAAUUUUAAGCUCUCUCGGUACACCUCGGGAAACCAAAACGUUUGGAUUCUGGGGGGAGUAUUGUCGCAAGGCUGAAACUUAAAGGAAUUGACGGAAGUUCACUACAACGGCGUGGAUUCUGCGGUUUAAUUUGACCCAACACGGGGAAUCUCACCGGGGCCGGACAUUGAGAGGAUUGACAGAUGGGAGUUCUUUCGAAAUACAAUGGCAGGUGGUGCAUGGCCGAAAAGUUUGUGCUUUGAGGUGCCUGGUUAAUUCCGAUAACGAGCGAGAUUUUUGGUGGGGGUUGCGGCGGCGAACUUUGGUUCGGGCUGCUGCGUUCCCGCGAUGGCCUCAGAAAUGAGGAUGAAAUGAAAGGCAGUUUCAGGUCUGUGAUGCCCUUCGACGUCUGCCGGGCCACACGCGAGAUACAAUGAUGGGGGGAGUGGGUUUUAGGGCGGGGGAAAAUGGGCCGCAAGGCCCGUUUUUCCCUGCCCGGCUGCUGGGGCGAGAGUCUUGGCGAAUCCGACAAUGCCUGUCGUGCUGGGGAUUGAUGCUUGUAAUUUUUCAUCAUGAACGAGGAAUGCCUUGUACGCGCAGUUCAUCAGACUGCGCGGAAUACGUCCCUGAGCUUUGUACACACCGCCCGUCGCUGUCGCCGAUCGAGGGAAGAGGUGAGGCGUGGGGAGGGCUGGUGCUGCGCUGGGCAACUGGUGCGGCGCGGGGCCUGAACCUCAACAAAUCUUUUUUCUUAGAGGCGGCAAAAGUCGUAACAAGGUAGACGUAGGGGAACCUGCGUCUGGAUCA
Molecule: ribosomal RNA, 1299 nt
Filed under: uncultured soil eukaryote
Lineage: Eukaryota
Description: SSU rRNA
Rfam family: Eukaryotic small subunit ribosomal RNA
Source: RNAcentral